GAUGAAGAACGCAGUGAAAUGCGAUAAGUAAUGUGAAUUGCAGAAUUCAGUGAAUCAUCGAAUCUUUGAACGCAUCUUGCGCUCCUUGGUAUUCUGAGGAGCAUGCCUGUUUGAGUGUCAUUAAAUUCUCAACUACACUGACUUUGAAUUGGUGUGGCUUGGAUUUGGGGGAAAAUUGUUGUGGGCUUUUUGUAUAGUCUGCUCCCCUGAAAUUGAUUAGCGGUACCUUUGUGGAACUGUCUACAGGUGUGAUAAUUAUCUACAUCUUAGACAUCUGCUGGAAUGCUGCUUUCUAAACCUUACUUGUAUUGACAAUCUUGACCUCAAAUCAGGUAGGACUACCCGCUGAACUUAAGCAUAUCAAUAAGCGGAGGA
Molecule: unclassified non-coding RNA, 375 nt
Filed under: soil metagenome
Description: partial contains 5.8S ribosomal RNA, internal transcribed spacer 2, and large subunit ribosomal RNA
Rfam family: 5.8S ribosomal RNA (bases 1-120)
Source: RNAcentral